CAGUCGAGGGGCAGCGGGGAGGAAGCUUGCUUUCUCCGCCGGCGACCGGCGCACGGGUGAGUAACACGUAUGCAACCUGCCCCUGUCAGGGGGACAACCCGCCGAAAGGCGGGCUAAACCCGCGUACAUGCCACCGGGGCAUCCCGGAGGCAGGAAAGGCUUCGGCCGGACAGGGAUGGGCAUGCGGCGCAUUAGGCAGUAGGCGGGGUAACGGCCCACCUAACCGACGAUGCGUAGGGGUUCUGAGAGGAAGGUCCCCCACACUGGUACUGAGACACGGACCAGACUCCAACGGGAGGCAGCAGUGAGGAAUAUUGGUCAAUGGUCGGGAGACUGAACCAGCCAAGCCGCGUGAGGGAUGAAGGUACAGAGUAUCGUAAACCUCUUUUGUCAGGGAACAAAGGCGGGGACGCGUCCCCGGAUGAGUGUACCUGAAGAAAAAGCAUCGGCUAACUCCGUGCCAGCAGCCGCGGUAAUACGGAGGAUGCGAGCGUUAUCCGGAUUUAUUGGGUUUAAAGGGUGCGCAGGCGGUCUGUUAAGUCAGCGGUCAAAGCCCGGGGCUCAACCCCGGCCCGCCGUUGAAACUGGCAGUCUCGAGUUGGAGAGAAGUAUGCGGAAUGCGCGGUGUAGCGGUGAAAUGCAUAGAUAUCGCGCAGAACUCCGAUUGCGAAGGCAGCAUGCCGGCUCCACACUGACGCUGAGGCACGAAAGCGUGGGUAUCGAACAGGAUUAGAUACCCUGGUAGUCCACGCAGUAAACGAUGAAUGCUGGCUGUCCGGNGGGACUGACCCCUGGGUGGCGA
RNAcentral lists this ribosomal RNA (802 nucleotides) under uncultured bacterium. Its description in RNAcentral is "bacterial SSU rRNA". It matches the Rfam family "Bacterial small subunit ribosomal RNA", at positions 59 to 849 of the family's 1533-position model. The record is from RNAcentral.